ACGGGAGGCAGCAGUGGGGAAUAUUGCACAAUGGGGGGAACCCUGAUGCAGCAACGCCACGUGUGGGAAGAAGCAUUUCGGUGUGUAAACCACUGUCGUGAGGGAAUAAUGCUUGAUUUCGGUUAAGUUGAAUGUACCUCGAAAGGAAGCACCGGCAAACUUCGUGCCAGCAGCCGCGGUAAUACGAGGGGUGCAAGCGUUGUUCGGAAUCACUGGGCGUAAAGGGAGCGUAGGCGGAAAUGCAAGCAGUCUGUACAAUACCGGGGCCCAACCCCGGACCUGCAGACUGGACUGUGUUUCUUGGAUAGUUCAGGGGCAGGCGGAAUUCCUGGUGUAGCGGUGGAAUGCGUAGAGAUCAGGAAGAACACCGAUGGCGAAGGCAGCCUGCUGGGGACUUAUCGACGCUGAGGCUCGAAAGUGCGGGUAGCAAACAGGAUUAGAUACCCUGGUA
This 451-nucleotide ribosomal RNA is filed under the name uncultured Fibrobacter sp. Its description in RNAcentral is "partial 16S ribosomal RNA". It matches the Rfam family "Bacterial small subunit ribosomal RNA", at positions 341 to 792 of the family's 1533-position model. The record is from RNAcentral. Lineage: Bacteria; Pseudomonadati; Fibrobacterota; Fibrobacteria; Fibrobacterales; Fibrobacteraceae.